Molecule: ribosomal RNA, 248 nt
Filed under: uncultured Glomus
Lineage: Eukaryota; Fungi; Glomeromycota; Glomeromycetes; Glomerales; Glomeraceae
Description: partial 23S ribosomal RNA
Rfam family: Eukaryotic large subunit ribosomal RNA
Source: RNAcentral
GGCGAGAGACCGAUAGCGAACAAGUACCGCGAGGGAAAGAUGAAAAGAACUUUGAAAAGAGAGUUAAACAGUACGUGAAAUUGUUGAAAGGGAAACGAUUGAAGUCAGUCAUACCAACGGGAAAUCAACCUUUUGAGCUCGGUCUCGUGGGUUUUGAAGAGUUUCAAAGCCUUCGGAUUCGCGGGAUUGGGAUCUCUUGGUGUACUUUUUCGUACGGUUAGUCAACAUCGGUUUUGAAUGUCAUAAAA